This 440-nucleotide ribosomal RNA is filed under the name uncultured bacterium. RNAcentral describes it as "partial 16S ribosomal RNA". It matches the Rfam family "Bacterial small subunit ribosomal RNA", at positions 338 to 795 of the family's 1533-position model. The record is from RNAcentral.
CCUACGGGAGGCAGCAGUGGGGAAUAUUGGACAAUGGGGGAAACCCUGAUCCAGCGACGCCGCGUGAGUGAAGAAGUAUUUCGGUAUGUAAAGCCCUAUCAGCAGGGAAGAAAAUGACGGUACCUGACCAAGAAGCCCCGGCUAACUACGUGCCAGCAGCCGCGGUAAUACGUAGGGGGCAAGCGUUAUCCGGAUUUACUGGGUGUAAAGGGAGCGUAGACGGCAGCGCAAGUCUGGAGUGAAAGGCCGGGGCUCAACCCCGGAACUGCGCUGGAAACGGGGUAGCUGGAGUGCAGGAGAGGUAAGCGGAAUUCCUGGUGUAGCGGUGAAAUGCGUAGAUAUCAGGAGGAACACCGGCGGCGAAGGCGGCUUACUGGACUGUAACUGACGUUGAGGCUCGAAGGCGUGGGGAGCAAACAGGAUUAGAUACCCUAGUAGUC